GAGUCGCGAUUUGGUGUUUUGAUCCGGUCAACAUGUAGAGGAAGGAACGGUGGUCACAAUAGUAGAAAAAUUACAUCGAACAGGAAUCGAGAAGGACCUCAUUGGAGGCAAAAAUUGAGAAAACCCGCGGCGGCGGCACUGGGCUUCGGUGGCUUUUUCGGUCAAUUGGCCGAUGUUUUUGCUCUGAUUUUACCAUAGAUG
RNAcentral lists this long non-coding RNA (201 nucleotides) under Carica papaya (papaya). RNAcentral describes it as "long non-coding RNA (CPAP_LNC001805)". Lineage: Eukaryota; Viridiplantae; Streptophyta; Magnoliopsida; Brassicales; Caricaceae. The record is from RNAcentral.